GGAGGAAGUGGUUCUGAGUUGGUCCAUGGGUGAGUGUGGAAAAAGUGCCAACUGACUGGCUGAAAGGCAUCAAGGAAGUUCCCACUCUGGGUUGCAGACCCUACCUGGAACUGGAAGCCCAGCCCCCAGGCUUUAGGUUAUCCUUGACUUGAUGGUUGGGCCCCACCAGGGACCUGCCCUGCCUAGGAACCUGUCUGCCUCCCGCCACCACCGAUAGCAUCUUUUAUUAAUAGCAACUCCGCAGGACUCAAAUACAUUCCUGGGUUACCAACAAAGACAUCACAACCACCCUGACUACAUCUUUGGCAGCAGGUUAAACCACUGAAUUUCGGGGAGCUGUUGAGGAGAAGCUGAGUGCCUUGUGGAAGAACACACCGUGAGGAGGAGCCUGAGAGAGCUGGUCACUGAGAAAAUCAUCAUCCGAGAAGAAGUGGUGACAUUGUGUGCUUAGAGGAGUGUGAUUCCUCCCUUUUCUCUACCUGCCUUAUGAAACACUCAGUAAAUUCUACUUUUCCCACUACCUCUUUUGGUGUGAGCAGUUUAUUUUAGAGCCCUCCAAAGAGGUACUGUGGUCCUUCACAAGGUUGGCAGGGUGGAAGAAGGUGGAGGAAGACCAGUUAGGGAUUAACCAGACACCUGAAAAGACUUUCUAUCUUUUCUUUACCUAUUCAUUUAUUAUCCUCCUGUCAUCUCUUUCCCCUUGAGCCUAUUCAAGGAUCUCCCCUCUCUCACGUUUCCAUCUCUGGCUCCCUCAUGGGCUCCUCUUCCUCCGAGGUCAACAGGUCUUUGCUCGUCCCCACUGUCGAGUUUCCUAGAGUCAGCCGUCACGACUGGGGUCAAUAGAGAGAACUAUAAGCUGCCUCUCACAAAAUAGCCAAUAAUGGUACUACAACUUACUGAGUUUUUAUAUAUAUUGAUUGUGGUGCUAGGUACCUCACAUAUAUAAUUUCAGUUAGUCUUUUUAACUACUCUGUAUAGCAAAUAUUAUUAUUGCUUUGUCACAGAAAGCAAACUGAGAGUCACUGGCUUGAUGUUCCAUGGGCUUGAACUAUUUUUACUUCCAAACAGGCUGCUAGUUAAAGUCAGGACAGUCGAUAGGCAGGAGGAUGAUAAGAGCACAGCGGCUGAGGCCAGGCAUGGUGGCUCAUGCCUAUAAUCCCAGCACUUUGGGAGACCAAGGUGGGCAGAUCACCUGAGGUCAGGAGUUCGAGACCAGCCUGGCCAACAUGGUGAAACCCCAUAUCUACUAAAAAUACAAAAAUUAGCCAGUGUGGUGGUAGGCACCUGUAAUCCCAGGUACUCGGGAGGCUGAGGCAGGAGAAUUGCUUGAACCCUGGAGGCAGCGGUUGCAGUGAGCCGAGAUCAUGUCAUUGCCCUCUAGCCUGGCGACAAGAGUGAGACUCAAAAAAAAAAAAAAGUA
This 1420-nucleotide long non-coding RNA is filed under the name Homo sapiens (human). RNAcentral describes it as "HSALNT0201301". The record is from RNAcentral. Lineage: Eukaryota; Metazoa; Chordata; Mammalia; Primates; Hominidae.